This 253-nucleotide ribosomal RNA is filed under the name uncultured bacterium. RNAcentral's name for it is "partial 16S ribosomal RNA". It matches the Rfam family "Bacterial small subunit ribosomal RNA", at positions 524 to 776 of the family's 1533-position model. The record is from RNAcentral.
UACAGAGGUCUCAAGCGUUGUUCGGAUUCAUUGGGCGUAAAGGGUGCGUAGGUGGCGUCGUAAGUCAGGUGUGAAAUCUCGGGGCUUAACUCCGAAACUGCAUUUGAUACUGCGGUGCUUGAGGACUGGAGAGGAGACUGGAAUUUACGGUGUAGCAGUGAAAUGCGUAGAGAUCGUAAGGAAGACCAGUGGCGAAGGCGGGUCUCUGGACAGUUCCUGACACUGAGGCACGAAGGCCAGGGGAGCAAACAGG